CGUCAACUGAACAUGGCGGUAGGAGUGUGCGUAGUUCCUGCAAUACUGUAGCCAUAUUAUGAAGAAAUAUUAUGCAAGCACACGUGGGUGAGGAAGGUGAGGUGUCAGUGCCUGAGUGUGUGCUGGAAAUAGAUGCGCAGUGCUUGGAAAUAUGGGCACCGUUUAUCAAGUGGCUUGUGAUGUGUGUCGUGCUGGCAUUACGGAGCGCACGUGAGCUUCUUCAGUGGUGUCUGAAAAGGAGAGACGUGAUCCUCGUGCUGUAUUAGUCGUGGUGGUGAUGACUCCAGCUCCGCGUCCCUGCAUCACUGACACUCAUGCUUGUCACUUGGCGUCCUGCUACAAGUCGUAAGAAUGCCUUAGAGAGCCUUUCGUCACGGGCCUGAGUUGGGUUCCCGCCUCAGUAUGCAACAGUAACCGCGGCGCAGGUCCCCCUCCGUCAUAGAUCACGCCCUUCAGCACGCCCCCGGGACUUUUGGUAAGAGUGGCACCCUUUUUUUUCCACCUUUUAUUUCUCGUGUCUUCGCCUUCCCCCUUUUUUUUCCAGCUUGGGUUUUUUUUUUUUUUUUCCUCUCUAGGUCUGAUUUCGGUGAG
This is a long non-coding RNA of Scylla paramamosain (green mud crab), 591 nucleotides long. RefSeq lists it as uncharacterized. The record is from RefSeq and is a predicted model, not a curated record. The transcript has 4 exons. Lineage: Eukaryota; Metazoa; Arthropoda; Malacostraca; Decapoda; Portunidae.